GCUGAUGUAGCUCAGUUGGUAGAGCAACUGAUUCGUAAUCAGUAGGUCGGUGGUUCGAUUCCUCUCAUCAGCACCA
RNAcentral lists this transfer RNA (76 nucleotides) under Noviherbaspirillum sedimenti. Its description in RNAcentral is "Noviherbaspirillum sp. K1S02-23 tRNA-Thr". It matches the Rfam family "tRNA". Rfam says of the family: Transfer RNA (tRNA) molecules are approximately 80 nucleotides in length. The record is from RNAcentral. Lineage: Bacteria; Pseudomonadati; Pseudomonadota; Betaproteobacteria; Burkholderiales; Oxalobacteraceae. RNAcentral also lists the same sequence under 1 other name.